Molecule: ribosomal RNA, 253 nt
Filed under: uncultured bacterium
Lineage: Bacteria
Description: partial 16S ribosomal RNA
Rfam family: Bacterial small subunit ribosomal RNA
Source: RNAcentral
UACGGAGGGGGCUAGCGUUGUUCGGAAUUACUGGGCGUAAAGCGCGCGUAGGCGGCUUUGUAAGUUAGAGGUGAAAGCCCGGAGCUCAACUCCGGAAUUGCCUUUAAGACUGCAUCGCUAGAAUCGUGGAGAGGUGAGUGGAAUUCCGAGUGUAGAGGUGAAAUUCGUAGAUAUUCGGAAGAACACCAGUGGCGAAGGCGACUCACUGGACACGUAUUGACGCUGAGGUGCGAAAGCGUGGGGAGCAAACAGG